Molecule: ribosomal RNA, 274 nt
Filed under: uncultured bacterium
Lineage: Bacteria
Description: partial 16S ribosomal RNA
Rfam family: Bacterial small subunit ribosomal RNA
Source: RNAcentral
AUACGGAGGGUGCAAGCGUUAAUCGGAAUUACUGGGCGUAAAGCGCGCGUAGGCGGUUUAGUCAGUCAGAUGGGAAAGCCCCGGGCUCAACCUGGGAACUGCAUUUGAUACUGCUGAACUAGAGUAUGGUAGAGGGAAGUGGAAUUCCGGGUGUAGCGGUGAAAUGCGUAGAUAUCCGGAGGAACACCAGUGGCGAAGGCGGCCCCCUGGACCAAUUCUGACGCUGAGGUACGAAAGCGUGGGGAGCGAACAGGAUUAGAAACCCUAGUAGUCC